Small nuclear RNA from Psammomys obesus (fat sand rat), 108 nucleotides. The record is from RefSeq and is a predicted model, not a curated record. NCBI's taxonomy places the organism in Eukaryota, Metazoa, Chordata, Mammalia, Rodentia, Muridae.
GUGCUCGUUUCAGCAGCACAUAUACUAAAAUUUGGACUGAUACAGAGAAGAUUAGCACGGCCCCUGCGCAAGGAUGACAUGCAAAUUCAUGAAGUGUUCCAUAUUAAA